CCUCCUUUCUAAGGAAAUCGAAAAUAAUAUUUUCGAUUUAAAAAAAACCGGUAAUGUGACCGUCCUCAUUUCUCUUCUUUUAAUGUCUCUGAGUAAAAAUUUUUAAUGUAAGGGGCCGGUAGCUCAGGUGGUUAGAGCGCACCCCUGAUAAGGGUGAGGUCGGAAGUUCGAAUCUUCCUCGGCCCACCAAUAUUACGGGGGAUUAGCUCAGCUGGGAGAGCGCCUGAUUUGCAUUCAGGAGGUCAGCGGUUCGAUCCCGCUAUCCUCCACCAAAAUUUGAGACAUUUAGCUUUUUUAAAUUGUGAAUAAUUUUAUUAUCAAUAUCUAUAUCCGAUUGUUUUCAUAUAUUUUUUUGAAAACAAUCAAAACAAAAAUUUGAAUUUUACACAGAAAGUUUUUUUCUGUGCAUAAAUCAAGCGUUUAAGGGCGAUCGGCGGAUGCCUUGGCACUGUAAGACGAUGAAGGACGUGGUAUACUGCGAUAAGUUUCGGGGAGUUGUAUGCAAGCUUUGAUCCGAAAAUUCCGAAUGUGGAAACCCA
Molecule: unclassified non-coding RNA, 539 nt
Filed under: uncultured Pelagibacterales bacterium
Lineage: Bacteria; Pseudomonadati; Pseudomonadota; Alphaproteobacteria; Candidatus Pelagibacterales
Description: partial 16S-23S ribosomal RNA intergenic spacer
Rfam family: Bacterial large subunit ribosomal RNA (bases 411-539)
Source: RNAcentral